RNAcentral lists this ribosomal RNA (850 nucleotides) under uncultured bacterium. RNAcentral's name for it is "bacterial SSU rRNA". It matches the Rfam family "Bacterial small subunit ribosomal RNA", at positions 52 to 897 of the family's 1533-position model. The record is from RNAcentral.
UAUCUGCAGUCGAGGGGCAGCAGGGUUGUAGCAAUACAAUCGCUGGCGACCGGCAAACGGGUGCGGAACACGUACGCAACCUUCCUUCAAAUGGGGGAUAGCCCACCGAAAGGUGGAUUAAUACCCCGUAACAUUUUCUGGUGGCAUCACUGGAUUAUUAUAGCUCCGGCGUUUGAAGAUGGGCGUGCGCCUGAUUAGGUAGUUGGCGGAGUAACAGCCCACCAAGCCUACGAUCAGUAACUGGUGUGAGAGCACGACCAGUCACACGGGCACUGAGACACGGGCCCGACUCCUACGGGAGGCAGCAGUAAGGAAUAUUGGUCAAUGGACGCAAGUCUGAACCAGCCAUGCCGCGUGGAGGAUGAAGGUCCUCUGGAUUGUAAACUUCUUUUAUCGGAGAAGAAACCCUUGCAUUCUUGCGAGGUUGACGGUACCCGAUGAAUAAGCACCGGCUAACUCCGUGCCAGCAGCCGCGGUAAUACGGAGGGUGCAAGCGUUAUCCGGAUUCACUGGGUUUAAAGGGAGCGUAGGUGGGAUGGUAAGUCAGUGGUGAAAUCUCCGGGCUUAACUCGGAAACUGCCGUUGAUACUAUCAUUCUUGAAUAUUGUGGAGGUAAGCGGAAUAUGUCAUGUAGCGGUGAAAUGCUUAGAUAUGACAUAGAACACCGAUAGCGAAGGCAGCUUGCUACACAAUUAUUGACACUGGGGCUCGAAAGCGUGGGGAUCAAACAGGAUUAGAUACCCUGGUAGUCCACGCCCUAAACGAUGGAUACUCGACAUACGCGAUACACAGUGUGUGUCUGAGCGAAAGCAUUAAGUAUCCCACCUGGGAAGUACGACCGCAAGGUUGA